RNAcentral lists this ribosomal RNA (429 nucleotides) under uncultured bacterium. RNAcentral's name for it is "bacterial SSU rRNA". It matches the Rfam family "Bacterial small subunit ribosomal RNA", at positions 355 to 776 of the family's 1533-position model. The record is from RNAcentral.
UAGGGAAUCUUCGGCAAUGGGGGGAACCCUGACCGAGCAACGCCGCGUGAGUGAAGAAGGUUUUCGGAUCGUAAAGCUCUGUUGUAAGAGAAGAACGUUAGUAAGAGUGGAAAGUUUACUAAGUGACGGUAUCUUACCAGAAAGGGACGGCUAACUACGUGCCAGCAGCCGCGGUAAUACGUAGGUCCCGAGCGUUGUCCGGAUUUAUUGGGCGUAAAGCGAGCGCAGGCGGUUAGAUAAGUCUGAAGUAAAAGGCUGUGGCUUAACCAUAGUAUGCUUUGGAAACUGUUUAACUUGAGUGCAGAAGGGGAGAGUGGAAUUCCAUGUGUAGCGGUGAAAUGCGUAGAUAUAUGGAGGAACACCGGUGGCGAAAGCGGCUCUCUGGUCUGUAACUGACGCUGAGGCUCGAAAGCGUGGGUAGCGAACAGG